Molecule: RNA transcript, 1733 nt
Organism: Armigeres subalbatus
Lineage: Eukaryota; Metazoa; Arthropoda; Insecta; Diptera; Culicidae
Gene: Mpc1
Gene name: mitochondrial pyruvate carrier 1
Exons: 4
Source: RefSeq, a predicted model, not a curated record
GCAACGUCCUCGCUCGCUAGUGUUUUAUUUACGUCUGCGUAUGUGAAAACACAAACUCAUCAUCCGCCAACCUCUAUCAACUCGUUACGUAUUAAUUUUGCCUCUUCAAGGCCACAAAAAGUUCCUUCGCUUCUUGGAUUGGGUAGUGUCAUUCACAUUCUUGACGUGGGAAGUCAGCGAGGGUGCGAAGGCACCUACAGAUCAACCAGAAUCCUUCCCAAACUCCUCCAGAUCGGAACCCGUCAACGGAUUUGAUCGAACCAAUCCUUAUUUACUAUCCCAUCCGCACGUUCAUCUUAUCAGUAAUUGACCCAGCACAAACUAGAUUCGGUAAUUACCACAAUCGCACGUAAAAAUGGCAGCUGCAAUGGGAAGGAAGCUGAUUGACAGCUUGAAGAGCAAGGAGUUCCGCGAGUACCUGAUGAGCACCCACUUCUGGGGACCGGUCGCCAACUGGGGUAUCCCGAUCGCGGCUCUCGCUGACAUUAAGAAGGACCCGAAGAUUAUCUCCGGGACCAUGACCACUGCUCUGUGCCUUUAUUCGAUGGUCUUCAUGCGAUUCGCCUGGCAGGUGCAGCCCCGGAACAUGCUGCUGUUCGCAUGCCACGUUACCAACUUUACUGCCCAAAGCAUGCAGGGCGCCCGAUGUUUCCAGUACAACCACCUUGGAGGUAACAAAAGCGCAACGCAACAGCCACCAGCAGCCAGUGGUGCUGCUGCGGAGCUGAAAAAGUAGACAAAACGUUACGAAAAUCUCAUCAUGCUGAAACGAAUUAUCGACGGUAGCUAUCGAAUCGAUCGAAAGAAAGGAAAAUGUGUGUGACACUUCUUAGAUAACUAGCAGUUUGGUUUAGGUUGAAGGUUCGCAGAACACAGGUGCUUUUAUAAUAGAGGUUGUAGGAAAGUUCACUAGCUUUAACUAUUUCUUCGACGGUAAACAAGGAAACAAAAUUGAGCUGUUAAUUUAUGAUACUUACAAUGUGACCCAGUGGAUAUUUAUGCUACAAAAAGUUUAUAAAAAAUGUCAUAGAAAAGGGGAAAAGGGUGUAGUACAAACAAUUUUUAGAUACAUUUAAAAACAAAGAUACAAAUUUUGACAAACGCACUAUUGCACGAAAUGUAGUCUUUCCAUAGUUGCACUGAAUAAAUUUAUACGAUAAAAAUAAAUGAUCUUGGUCGGGAAAUCUUAGGAUUACGUUCAGUCAAUGUUCCUGUUAUCCACUUGAAAUGCCAACUUGUCAAAUGAUUAAUACUGUAUGUUUUCGAAUUUUAUAACCACUUCCAAUAUCCCUGUAAUCUUAUAAGUUAUAAUCAAUUAUUCAAUUGAAUUUCGAAAAAGUAUACUUGAUUAUUAUCGAAUGGCUUCAAUUGCCUAACAAAUGUUAUGGCUACCGCGGAUCGAUUUUUUGUAUUGAGGUCAUCAUGGCAAUCACGACAUAAACUCGAGCUUUGACGUGUCAUUUCGACACUUUUUCGUUGUAUAAAGUAUUGGAAAAUAAAUGUAUAUAUUGCAAAAAGAAAGUCAUGAAAGUUCCAAUAAUGGACUUUGAAUCUGCUUGAAUUGAAUGUCGUACUUGCCCCGAUGUCCUUAUCGUUACCAAUUAGAAUAUAUCAUCAUACUAUUAUAAAAUGUUUAUCACAUAUACGCCAUGUGUUCGUAUACUUUUGAGAGGGGCUAUAUUUAUGAAGAAGUGAAACAAUUAUUUUCACAAUAAAUGUCUUACCGGAUGGAA